UAAGGAAUAUUGGUCAAUGGGCGAAAGCCUGAACCAGCCAUCCAGCGUGCAGGAAGAAGGCCCUAUGGGUUGUAAACUGCUUUUGUCAGGGAAUAAACCUCUGGAUUUACUCCGGAGCUGAAGGUACCUGAAGAAUAAGCACCGGCUAACUCCGUGCCAGCAGCCGCGGUAAUACGGAGGGUGCGAGCGUUAUCCGGAAUUACUGGGUUUAAAGGGUGCGUAGGCGGCUUGGUAAGUCAGGAGUGAAAGUUUGCGGCUCAACCGUAAAAUUGCUUUUGAUACUGCCGGGCUGGAAUCAGGAUGAGGUCAGCGGAAUGUGGCAUGUAGCGGUGAAAUGCAUAGAUAUGCCAUAGAACACCCAUUGCGAAGGCAGCUGGCUAGACCUGUAUUGACGCUGAGGCACGAAAGCGUGGGGAGCGAACAGG
RNAcentral lists this ribosomal RNA (425 nucleotides) under uncultured bacterium. Its description in RNAcentral is "bacterial SSU rRNA". It matches the Rfam family "Bacterial small subunit ribosomal RNA", at positions 355 to 776 of the family's 1533-position model. The record is from RNAcentral.